UACGAAGGGGGCUAGCGUUGCUCGGAAUUACUGGGCGUAAAGCGCACGUAGGCGGCUUUCUAAGUCGGGGGUGAAAUCCUGGAGCUCAACUCCAGAACUGCCUUCGAUACUGGAAAGCUCGAGUCCGGGAGAGGUGAGUGGAACUGCGGGUGUAGAGGUGAAAUUCGUAGAUAUUCGCAAGAACACCAGUGGCGAAGGCGGCUCACUGGCCCGGUACUGACGCUGAGGUGCGAAAGCCAGGGGAGCAAACGGG
Molecule: ribosomal RNA, 253 nt
Filed under: uncultured bacterium
Lineage: Bacteria
Description: partial 16S ribosomal RNA
Rfam family: Bacterial small subunit ribosomal RNA
Source: RNAcentral